Molecule: ribosomal RNA, 301 nt
Filed under: uncultured bacterium
Lineage: Bacteria
Description: partial 16S ribosomal RNA
Rfam family: Bacterial small subunit ribosomal RNA
Source: RNAcentral
CAGCAGCCGCGGUAAAACGUAGGGUGCAAGCGUUAAUCGGAAUUAUUGGGCGUAAAGCGCGCGCAGGCGGCCUAUCCAGUCUGUCUUAAAAGUUCGGGGCUCAACCCCGAGAUGGGAUGGAAACUAGUAGGCUAGAGUAUCGGAGAGGAAAGCGGAAUUCCUAGUGUAGCGGUGAAAUGCGUAGAUAUUAGGAGGAACACCAGUGGCGAAGGCGGCUUUCUGGACGAAAACUGACGCUGAGGCGCGAAAGCCAAGGGAGCGAGCGGGAUUAGAUACCCCCGUAGUCCCUGUCUCUUAUACA